Long non-coding RNA from Gorilla gorilla gorilla (western lowland gorilla), 1130 nucleotides. RefSeq lists it as uncharacterized. Lineage: Eukaryota; Metazoa; Chordata; Mammalia; Primates; Hominidae. The record is from RefSeq and is a predicted model, not a curated record. The transcript has 3 exons.
AUGUCAAAAUUUGAUGUGACUCUGCAAGAAAAUGCUUACCAUCUGUGGUUGGUAUUUUUCUUCUGCUCCAGCCAUUAAUAUAUAUUUUUACAUACAAAAGUUGUUUCCAGUAAUAAAAAAUCUGUCUGAGAUCUGUCCUAAGCUCAUCCUCAGAGAUCCUUGAUUGUCUGUCUUGCUCCUGCCCAUGUUCUUCCCCAGAACUGGACUCUCACCUGGAACCCAGCCCACGGCUUGGAUCCCACCACCCAGAGUCUCACCCCGUUGUCCAGGCUGGAGUGCAGUGGUGCAAUCUCGGCUCAUUGCAACCUCCGCCUCCUGGCUUCAAGCAAUUCUCCUGCCACAGCCUCCUAAGUAGCUGGGAUUACAGGCGCCCACCACCACACCCAGCUAAUUUUUGUAUUUUUGGUAGAGACAGGGUUUCACCAUGUUGGCCAGGCUGGUCUCAAACUCCUGGCCUCAAGUGAUCUGCCUGCCUUGGCCUCCCAAAGUGUUGGGAUUACAGGCAUGAGCCACCGUGCCUGGCCCUGUGUCCUUUUAAGAAGAGAAACAUUCCAUGUGAAGACAGAGACACACAGGAGGAAUGCCAUGUGAUGACAGAGGCAGAGAUUGGAGUGAAGCAGCUGCAAACUGAAUAUUAAGGAUUGCCAGCCACCACCAGAAGCCAGGAAGAGGCAACCUAAGAUUCUACCCAAAGUCUCAGAGGGAGCGUGGCCCUGCUGACACCUUGAUUUUGGACUUCUAUCCUUCAGAACCGUAUUGUUUUGUGUUUUAAACCACCCAAUUUGUGGUACUUUGUCUCAGGAGCCCUAGGAAAUGAAUACUUCUAAGUCUCUUCCAUACUUUAUCACAUACGAUACAGAUAACAAAACACAUUCUGCAACAGGUUUUCAUUUUUUGUUGCAUUUAUAAUGCUGCACUUUUUUAAAAAUAGAAAAUCAUGUAAAUCUAGACCAUUUUAUGCACCCAUUUUAAGUAUACACACUAGCCUGUUAUAUUGUGAAUUCUGAGAUAAAAGAGAAUGUAAUUUGAAGAGAUUGCAUAUUUUCCAAAGCCAAUUUGGUGAUUUAAGCACGGAAGUAUUAAAAUUAAAUGUUUGAAAAGUUAUCUAUGCAUGUUUUGCUGUAAGACGA